UGUGUCAGAAAAUUCUAGGGAUUUCCUAUUUUAUGGGGGAGACUACCCUCCGAGGGGGAAACACUCCCCCUGAUACGCUCUAUAGGCAAAACAGGGGUCUUUGGGGACUUGCGCUUUUUUUUGCCCCCUAAUUAAAAAAAACCUAUUUUCUGGGUGUAAUGGCUUCACAGGGCGACGAUCUGUACCGGCUCUGAGAGGGAGGGUCCGCCACAUGGGAUCUCAGACACGGCCCGGAUCCUCUCCCGAGCCGCCUUUUUGGGGAAAUUUUUUUUCAAUGGGCAAAAGCCUGAUGGACCCCACCCCCGCGUGUGUGAAGAAGGCUUUGUGGUCACAAAGCUCUUUAAGCGGCGAAGAAGACUCUUCUUUUAAUACCCGGAGACGAUGACAUUAGCUGCAGAAUAAGCCCCGGCUAUCUCUGUCCCAGCAGCCGCGGUAAUACAGAGGGUGCAAGCGUUAAUCGGAAUUACUGGGCGUAAAGCGAGCGUAGGUGGCUUGAUAAGUCAGAUGUGAAAUCCCCGGGCUUAACCUGGGAACUGCAUCUGAUACUGUUAGGCUAGAGUAGGUGAGAGGAAGGUAGAAUUCCAGGUGUAGCGGUGAAAUGCGUAGAGAUCUGGAGGAAUACCGAUGGCGAAGGCACCCUUCUGGCAUCAUACUGACACUGAGGCUCGAAAGCGUGGGUAGCAAACAGG
Molecule: ribosomal RNA, 689 nt
Filed under: uncultured Lactobacillus sp.
Lineage: Bacteria; Bacillati; Bacillota; Bacilli; Lactobacillales; Lactobacillaceae
Description: partial 16S ribosomal RNA
Rfam family: Bacterial small subunit ribosomal RNA
Source: RNAcentral